UCACCUCUAGCAUUACCAGUAUUAGAGGCACUGCCUGCCCAGUGACAUUAGUUAAACGGCCGCGGUAUCCUGACCGUGCAAAGGUAGCAUAAUCAUUUGUUCCUUAAUUAGGGACUUGUAUGAACGGCCCCACGAGGGUUUAACUGUCUCUUACUUUCAAUCAGUGAAAUUGACCUUCCCGUGAAGAGGCGGGAAUACAAAAAUAAGACGAGAAGACCCUAUGGAGCUUAAAUUAAUAUGUUCAACAGAAUUUAAUUAUAAUCCAAUAGGAAUAAAAAUAUUCUAACUGAACAAUAAAUUUUGGUUGGGGUGACCUCGGAGUAUAACAUAACCUCCGAGCAAUUAAACCAAGACUUACCAGUCAAGGCCAUAUAACUUAUUGAUCCAAUCUUAUUGAUCAACGAAACAAGUUACCCUAGGGAUAACAGCGCAAUCCUAUUUAAGAGUUCAUAUCGACAAUAGGGUUUACGACCUCGAUGUUGGAUCAGGACACCCAAAUGGUGCAGCAGCUAUUAAAGGUUCGUUUGUUCAACGAUUAAAUGUCCUUACGUG
This 552-nucleotide ribosomal RNA is filed under the name Crocidura goliath. RNAcentral's name for it is "partial large subunit ribosomal RNA". It matches the Rfam family "Bacterial large subunit ribosomal RNA", at positions 1816 to 2602 of the family's 2925-position model. Lineage: Eukaryota; Metazoa; Chordata; Mammalia; Eulipotyphla; Soricidae. The record is from RNAcentral.